CUUGGCGACGAUAGCGAACGGGAACCACCCGAUCCCAUUCCGAACUCGGAAGUGAAAACGUUCAGCGCCGAUGAUAGUGUGGAUUGCCCAUGCGAAAGUAGGACAUUGCCAAGC
RNAcentral lists this ribosomal RNA (114 nucleotides) under Permianibacter aggregans. The record is from RNAcentral. Lineage: Bacteria; Pseudomonadati; Pseudomonadota; Gammaproteobacteria; Pseudomonadales; Pseudomonadaceae.